Molecule: unclassified non-coding RNA, 289 nt
Filed under: Chaetoceros dayaensis
Lineage: Eukaryota; Bacillariophyta; Thalassiosirophyceae; Chaetocerotales; Chaetocerotaceae
Description: internal transceibed spacer 1
Source: RNAcentral
CCAAUUGGCUCCAUACCACCUGGCACAGUCUGUGAAUCUAGGACAUAAAAAACUGAUUGUAGUAACUCCUUGAGGGACCGGCCCACAAGCUAGACCUUGAGUUGUAAACCAAUCUACAGGUAGACCCUAUAGCCUGUCGCAAGACAGAUUAUAGGUCUGCCGCCCUCUACAGAACAAUGAAACAAUACAACCUGAAGUCUAAAAGGAGUAUAGGUGAGGGACAGGCAAGACAAAGCACCUCGGUGUGAGAGCUUCCUGUUCCCCUACUCUUUGUAAAUCUAAAUGAAAU